UCUUAUGAAUUCUAGGUCUUCU
Molecule: microRNA, 22 nt
Filed under: Solanum lycopersicum (tomato)
Lineage: Eukaryota; Viridiplantae; Streptophyta; Magnoliopsida; Solanales; Solanaceae
Description: sly-miR10533
Source: miRBase by way of RNAcentral